UUAAUGCUGUCAGCUGAGUUGAUUAUCGAGCAAUGGUGGUGUUAUGACCUAAGAAAAUAAAUCGAAUUCAUUGUCAUUUAUUGCUGUGUUAUUUCACUAUAGCUCAACAAAUAUAUUUCUAGAUGAAACAUUAGCCCUUAGGGUUCUGUAUGGUAUAAUAUAAAGACAUGGAUUGGAGUGUAAUUGUGUGAUAUCUGGAAACUGUAGUUGUCUUGGUGGGGAUUAUCAGUAAAGAGCAGUAGUGCUGGAUUCCUUUUGAUUUCAAGUUCAGUUCUCUUCAUUCACAAUGUUGUAUGUGUUCCAUGUAGAUGCUGGUCAGAUGACCACCUAUGACAUGAGUCUGACCUUGCAAACAGUGGCCAUGUUAAAAGCUGCUAUAGAAAGAAAGACGAAGACACCUUCAAGUUCCCUGGUGCUAUUGGUCAGUGGUGGUGAGGUCCUGAAAUCUGACCACAUGGUGUCAUCAUACAGUGCAGGCACAGACACAAACCCUAUAUAUAUGUUUAGUAAGCCGUCAGUUAAAGAGAGUCAUCUAAAGAAAUCAAUGUGCAGCGAUCUCAGUCCAAUAUUGGAGUUAGAAUCAGGUGAAUUCCGGAGUGGGGAGAGGAGUUUCGAUGGAAAGUCGUUUGCUGACCUCAAGGCGAGCGUGGACAAGUGCUGCUCUCUGCCAGCCACUGUCAGCACGGUCAUAGCCUGCGCGACUCUUGCGCAGAGGUUCAGUGACCUCGCGCAUGAGCUGUCUAGGAGCUGUGAACAAUUGGUACAUGAGCAGCAUCUUCAGCAUCAGGGUUGGGCGGCAGUGGUAGCGAACUUAGAAGAUAUAUUUAACGAGUUUUGCGACAGAUCAAGAAAUUUCAAAGAAACGUUCAAGAAGCAUCGCGCGAAAAAGGAGGAAUACCAUCAGCAACUGAAUACACUCAACGAAGUAUUAGAAGCACUAGGUAAAAUUCCGAUACUGCCGGCGUUGCAAGUGAACGCUGAAGCCCAUCGGUUCUCUGGUUUCGAUGUGUUUGAAGAGGCAGACUUCGAGGGAAACCUAUACAGGGUCAGCCAUCCGCUGGACAACAGCUCGGAGACGAAACACCAGGAAUUUGGAGUCGAGGCGUUCAAGUUGUCUGAAGAAGAUGUAUUCGAACAAAAAGAUGCGGCAGCAAAAAAGGAUUCGAUGCAGUCGGACGACCGGCCGGUGCAGGAGUCUGACGAAGGGAUGCGAUUCGGAAGGUAUUCCUCAGAGAGCAAAGAUGAACUCACUCUGUUGCAUUGGAUAUUGGCGAGGGGCAACAAAGAUUCGUUACAAGAUAUAAUCGAUUACUGCCAAAAAGGACUCACACUGAUCGAGACAGAGCCAUUGAAAGAGCACGAAGAAGAAUUAUGUCACAUUCUAGAAUAUGCGAAUCUUCACGGUUUGAAGCAGAUCAAGGGCAUAGAGGAACGGUUGUAUCGCCUCGAUCAGUUGUUGAAUGAAGUGAGGAAAAGGGAGAAGGACCAGCACGAUCAGGCUGCCUCGCUCAUACAGUAUCGCGAACGACUAAACACGGCAUGCGAUCCGUCAGUGCUGCCAACGUUGGUGCAGUCGCACCGGUGUCAACUAGAAAAACUGCUCAAAGGACACCAGGCCAUAGCGGAUAUCCGCAGGCGGAUCAUUAAGUCAAAGGAUGAACUGUCUUAUAUUUUAAAGUCUAGAUUAGAGGCGGUACUAAUGAUAGAAAACUCGAUGUCCGUGCAAGAUGCGCACGGAAUGCUGUCGUUCCAAUGUUUCAAUCGUCUCGCGCGGUAUUUCGUGAUAGUAUCGCAGCUACAUCGCGCCCCUGCCGUUUUUGUGCGAGCCGUACACGAAGUAGCUAGACGCAGGAAGUUCUCUGAAGCUCAUCUUAAGUGGGCAUCAGAUCUAGCGUCGAAAUUGCAGAAAAUCCACGAAGAGGAAUCAUCGAGGCGACAGGAUUUCAACACUCUCUUCGACGGGCACUUCCUCAAAAGUUUGUUCCCGGGCAUGACAGAGUUGCCCCCGCCAUUCGCAACUCAAGCGCCGCCCGUGUUCGACGCGAAACUGCCCAGGAUCACGGACACCGAUGUCGAGUACAUAGCUAAAUCGUUCCCGCAUUUGACUGAGGAAGUGCCCAAGUAUGAUAUGGAUGCCACAGUUAAAUUUUUUGAACAAAGACUUGUCUCAACAGAUGACAAAGAUAACGAAGAAAUUGCUCAAACAGAAGCUGACGCAGAAAUAGAAGCGAAAGGCGGCUAUUUCGAGGACAUAAUCAGGGCGACGCCCGCGCUGAAGGUGGACACGGCGACGUGCUGCUCGCCCGCGGUGGCGGCGGCGGCCACGCUGACGGAGGUGCGGGUAUCAGUAGUUCCGGGCGACUUCGAUAGCUCAGACUUUUACAUCGAGGAGUCGCUGCCCUCCAGCUUGGAGUGGGGCCGGCCCGGACAGGACAAUAUGGACACACACAAAAUCAACAUGGAAAAGCUACAGGAAUUCCUAAUAAGUUUAUGCAGUUUAUGUAGAACUAAUAUUAUGUUUAUUAAAGAAGAAUUGGUUAAAUUAAAAGGUGAAAUUAAUGAACAGAAGAAAUUCGUUAAGGGUAAAUAUUUAGAAAUUUUAGAUGGGUGGGAGAGAAGUAAUCAAGAGGCAGCUAUAAGAUUUCGUGAGCACACUCAGAGAAUGACUGUAGACCACGAAUUAGAGUUGAGUGAUAUGAAAGCGGCCAUGACACAAAAAGAUGACGUCAUAGAUUCUCUCAAAAGGGAGAAGGAAGAUUUGAAAUUGGAACAUCAAAAAGAUUUAGAGAGACUAGAUAAAGAGCAUCAGGACACCAAAGAUCUUUUGGAAAAAACUCGAAUGGAAGUGAAAGAGCUAGAAAAGAAAUUGGCGGAAUAUGAUGCGAAUAAACAAGUGGAGAUAAAAGAGUUGCAGGAGAAGAUGCAUUUGGAUUACAAAGCAGAGAUCGAGUCAUUGCGGUCUAGGUUCCGCUUAGUAGCAAUCACAAAUAUGGAUCGUUCUCCGUCCGAAUCGAGUCUUGAGAAAAUAGAACGAACCGAUGUUAUAGAAAUUUCCAGUCACAACGCGAUCGUCAUGCAGACGAAGGAAAACGCCGAAGUGGAAAAGGAGGAGGCGGUAAAAGAGGCGGUCGCGAAAUGUGACGCCGAUUGGAGACUUAAGCUCGAGGAGGAAUUGAAAUCCUUUAAAAAUAAAUAUGAAAACGAGAAACAGGUUAGUAACGACGUGAGUCGUCGCCUCAUCGCUGAAAAGGACCGUCAAUUGGACGCAUUACGCGAGCGAGAGCAAGCGUUGGUCAGGGAAAGUAAUAAGUACAGGGACACAAUUCAACAACUCACAGAUCCCGAGACCAACGAUUACGAUGCCCUGCUCAAGACACAGUUCGCGUCCCUUGAAAACGACAAAGCCGUGCUACAGCAGCAAGUAGCAGAUUUGAAAAAGGAGUUGGAGAGGAGAGAGGAAGCGGAGAAAAGCAGAGACGAAGCGGAGAAGAGCAGAGAAGAUGACAGCGAGGGCAGAUCGUCCCCCAAGAAGGAGACGGUCAGCCGCCGCGGCGUGGCGCACACGCCGGUGGGGCUCCCCGGGGGGACGCUGAGCCUGUCGUCGUGCCUCCCCGGGCACACCGUGCUCGUGCUGUGGGACGCCGCCCACCACAAUUACACCGUGCUGCAGGAAGCUCCGGUCAUGUUCUUUGUAUAUAGUGAUUGUCUGGCCGCCCUUGAUCUCAGUCUGAACGUGAAAAACGAAUCGGAGCGCAAACUGUAUGCCGUGGCGACGGUCGAGUCUAAGGAGUACUGCUAUGCUAAAAGGAGUGUGAACCGCUACAAUAUGCCGCGUGGUUCCCGCUUCUACCGCGUGCACGUGAAGCCGCUGCGCGCGCAGCCGCCGCCGCCGCCGCCUUGCUGCGACCACAAGCAUAAGCAGGAUAAAAUGAAGCGCAGCGUUCUCUCCGUGUUGGGCGAAAACCGACCGCUCAAGAAAUGGUUGACCUACAUGCAUGCCCCAGACAUGCACAGAUCGGUUGACAACAGUCAGUCGACGAGUUCGACCACCGACGAUGCUGGUGGUAGCGGUCGUGCUGAAGUGGCUACCGCUACCCUCAUCAACUUGGAGUCCCCUAAAUCUCCCGCGGAACCGAGCGUAGCGUCCAGCAGUAGCGCGGCCACAGUGCCCGCGACAUCGGAAGACCAGCUGGAUUCUAUAGAAGCCAGCGAAUGGCCGGCCAGGAUGCAAGUGUCUACUGCUAGCGCAAUGUUAUUUUUAAAGUCAAUACUGGAUCCAAGUGGAUCCAGGUAGCCGGAUCCUAGUGGAUCCAGUUGUGUCGCAGCCGUGAGAAGACCAGGCGAAUUCUAUUGAGACUAGUGAAGGAGACCUAGAGAACACAACUGUAGUAAUGACGGACAUGGAGUGCAGCGUGGGGCGCUGCGCGGGCCCCGAGGCGGGCGAGGCGCCCGAGCUGGCCGAGGAGGCCGCGCCCUGACGCCGCCGCGCCCGCCCGCGCUGCUGCCGCUAGCCCUCGGGGACCACACGAACCUACGCGUCACUCAAGUGAAGUGCGCUCGCCGUUACGUUCUCGAUUCCAAUUUUAAACGAGUUUUGAGUGAGCGGCCAUUUUGUCGACGUCUUCCGCUACUCUGCGACCCUGGUGGUCUCGCGAUCCGAUGACGGAUCUUUGUGAUCGAUGAACUCUAAUAACGUGUCUUUGUGAUCAUAUUAUGUUGAUAAAAGUUAACAUCAAAAUAGCUUUUAAUAUUAAAUUACUCUUUAUUUUUAGAUUAGAUAUUAUUUUCUUAUUAUGAAGUGGCGUUUGAUUCGAAUUAUUUCAUUCGACGGUGAUUUCUUCACAAUAGUACAAAUUUGUAUAGUCGUAAAGCUUUAUAUUUUUUUUUGCGAAAAUAUUCGUGAAUACCAUUUUUUAUUUUUUACCUGUAUGAGUUGUGUUACUAGUUUAACGUGAUUGGUAUAUUUUAAUAUCCUGACAUACAUUUUGGAACGUUAUAUUUUUGUAUUGUAUUGUGCAUAAUUUCAAUGAUGUAAGUUUAUAUAACCGCAGCACAAAGUAUGUGUAAGUUGACCAAUCGAUUACCAUCAAUUGGUCGACUCAAAGCGGGAACAAUGUUGGCGAAUGACGGUCUUAUGAUAAAAUAAACAAAAUUUUAAUACCAGAA
This is an RNA transcript of Amyelois transitella, 5166 nucleotides long. It is a transcript of the gene named RB1-inducible coiled-coil protein 1, with no coding region annotated. Lineage: Eukaryota; Metazoa; Arthropoda; Insecta; Lepidoptera; Pyralidae. The transcript has 24 exons. The record is from RefSeq and is a predicted model, not a curated record.